This 25-nucleotide non-coding RNA is filed under the name Rattus norvegicus (Norway rat). The record is from RNAcentral. Lineage: Eukaryota; Metazoa; Chordata; Mammalia; Rodentia; Muridae.
ACAAGCAAGAGCAACAGAGAAGGGG